CUGUAACACCUCUCCCUGCCCCCCUCCCCACACUGUAAUCCCUUCUCUCUCUGUGGGAACGCGGCCACAGGUCGCCAUCCAUGCAGAAAUGGCAGGUGCCAACUCUGCUUCUGUGUCGGGAGGACAGGGAGAGGGCUCAAGGAAGCAACUCUCUGUAGGGGUGACUGAGUACAUGAACUGUGUAGGACCAAUGCACUACUCACCAAUGUGCCAUACUGCAGAGAAACUCUGAGGAUGGUCCUCCUGGCUUGGCAUUACUGGACUUGCUUUGACAAGCAGUUGAAAUAGAAAUAAAACUAGCAUAGAAUUAUGAAGACUCAGGGAAGCAUUACUGUAACUGGGUAAUUUUCAAUGGGACUAAUGAGAUGGAGGAUUUGUAUUAGGGCUCAAAGGAUUUUUUUUUUAAUGUCUCCAGUAACAGAUUAUCAUGGACUAUGACCACAUUAAAAUAAAAGGAAUAAGCAGUCUAGAGGAAAUAUCCCUAGCACCAGGAAGGAGCAUCACAAUAUAAAAUAAAACGUUUCAGUCCACACAGGGACUUAUCAUGAUCAAAUUUUCAUCCGAAAAUUUGUCAAAUUUGCAGAAAUUUAAAAAUAUAUAUAUUUUUGUAGUGCAUAGUUUAACAGACAUGCUUGCAUUAACAAUUCAGAUGAUUAUAUAUCAUAAUAAAGAUAGUAAUGAUAACAUGAAGUCAAGAAUACUGCACUGGUGGGGGGGGG
This is a non-coding RNA of Pelobates cultripes (western spadefoot toad), 719 nucleotides long. NCBI's taxonomy places the organism in Eukaryota, Metazoa, Chordata, Amphibia, Anura, Pelobatidae. The record is from the annotation of a GenBank genome assembly.